RNAcentral lists this ribosomal RNA (233 nucleotides) under Bacillus cereus. RNAcentral's name for it is "partial 16S ribosomal RNA". It matches the Rfam family "Bacterial small subunit ribosomal RNA", at positions 324 to 545 of the family's 1533-position model. The record is from RNAcentral. Lineage: Bacteria; Bacillati; Bacillota; Bacilli; Caryophanales; Bacillaceae.
ACACGGCCCAGACUCCUACGGGAGGCAGCAGUAGGGAAUCUUCCGCAAUGGACGAAACAGUCUGACGGAGCAACGCCGCGUGAGUGAUGAAGGCUUUCGGGUCGUAAAACUCUGUUGUUAGGGAAGAACAAGUGCUAGUUGAAUAAGCUGGCACCUUGUUUUUUACCUAACCAGAAAGCCACGGCUAACUACGUGCCAGCAGCCGCGGUAAUACGUAGGUGGCAAGCGUUAUC